Molecule: ribosomal RNA, 253 nt
Filed under: uncultured bacterium
Lineage: Bacteria
Description: partial 16S ribosomal RNA
Rfam family: Bacterial small subunit ribosomal RNA
Source: RNAcentral
UACGUAGGGGGCAAGCGUUGUCCGGAUUUAUUGGGCGUAAAGAGCGUGUAGGCGGCUAGGUAGGUCCGUUGUGAAAAACUCGAGGCUCAACCUCGAGACGCCGGUGGAAACCAUCUAGCUAGAGUCCGGAAGAGGAGAGUGGAAUUCCUGGUGUAGCGGUGAAAUGCGCAGAUAUCAGGAAGAACACCCGUGGCGAAGGCGGCUCUCUGGUACGUGACUGACGCUGAGACGCGAAAGCGUGGGAGCGAACAGG